AAUAGAUACCCCGGUAGUCCACGCCGUAAACGAUGAAUGCUAGGUGUUAGGGGUUUCGAUACCCUUGGUGCCGAAGUUAACACAUUAAGCAUUCCGCCUGGGGAGUACGGUCGCAAGACUGAAACUCAAAGGAAUUGACGGGGACCCGCACAAGCAGUGGAGUAUGUGGUUUAAUUCGAAGCAACGCGAAGAACCUUACCAGGUCUUGACAUCCCUCUGAAUCCUCUAGAGAUAGAGGCGGCCUUCGGGACAGAGGAGACAGGUGGUGCAUGGUUGUCGUCAGCUCGUGUCGUGAGAUGUUGGGUUAAGUCCCGCAACGAGCGCAACCCUUGAUUUUAGUUGCCAGCACAUUAAGGUGGGCACUCUAGAAUGACUGCCGGUGACAAACCGGAGGAAGGCGGGGAUGACGUCAAAUCAUCAUGCCCCUUAUGACCUGGGCUACACACGUACUACAAUGGCCAGUACAACGGGAAGCGAAGUCGCGAGACGGAGCCAAUCCUAUCAAAGCUGGUCUCAGUUCGGAUUGCAGGCUGACC
This 536-nucleotide ribosomal RNA is filed under the name uncultured bacterium. RNAcentral describes it as "bacterial SSU rRNA". It matches the Rfam family "Bacterial small subunit ribosomal RNA", at positions 777 to 1310 of the family's 1533-position model. The record is from RNAcentral.